Molecule: long non-coding RNA, 815 nt
Organism: Galeopterus variegatus (Sunda flying lemur)
Lineage: Eukaryota; Metazoa; Chordata; Mammalia; Dermoptera; Cynocephalidae
Exons: 3
Source: RefSeq, a predicted model, not a curated record
GAGACCGGAUGUUCUGCUGCAGACGUGAGGACCGAGGCAGCGCUCCUCGGUCGGGUGCUACCGCCCAUUCAGCGCGGAAGCGAGGCUGCUCCCGGACCCGCCGCCGCCCCGUGCACGCGACGCCGCGGGAGCGUUAGGGACAGGCGGAGACGCAGUCUCCUCCUAAGGGGACGCAAAGCUGUGUGGACCCUGAAAGAGCCGGUCUUUGGAGAUGGAUCCCGAGCGGCCAAGGGGGUCUGAAUUCCGAAUGGAGCCGAGCAGGAUUUGCUGAGCGCAGGGUACACAUAAACCCUGUGUCUUCUGGAAAAAAACAAAAAAGCAAAACCGAAAGAUCCCAGGAUGUGUUCUCAACUACUCUAUCCAGGAAUGCAGUGGCCAUGAAGACUCCACAGAUGGAAAAUACAGAGUAUGGAGCCAAGAGUCUGGUGUGUGUUGAAUUCUUUCAGCAUCAGCCCAGUUGAUUCUGGAGAGCAUUUACUGGAAGGGCCUGCAGCUGUGACUCCUUCUUCUGUCCUUUGAGAUGUCUUUGCACCUCCUGUAAUCCUCGAGUGUCUUUCUCCAGGACCUAGGAGCCAUGCCUUUGAAAUGGGAUCCUCAGGAAGGGUGGGCCCCUAUCUCCCAGUCUCAUGGGAGGGUAGAAUCCUGGCUUGGACAGUUGCCAGCUAGCAGACACGACUGGCAUAAUGGCAUUUACUGACCAAGCCUCUGUCAUUCUUCAGUUGAGCCCUUUCCCCUCCCAAUACCACACCCUCCUUUAGAGUGCCCUUUCCCCAACUGCAGCAGUUACUGAAUAAAAUCUGUUUUCACUGCUUUAA